CCAAAUGUUUGAUGUGACAUUAUAUGCAAAUAAAUACACAUUGUAUUACGUCAACCACAUGCAUCCGUUCCAAUCUGACCUAAUCAGAGACGACGCUGUGCUACGUGGAAAUGUCUGACUAGUGAAGCUGCCUGUAGUAAGCUCAGGGAUGCAGCAGCUGGAGUCCUGGGAGGUACGCAGAAGGCGUCACGUGAUCUGAGGCGGAGCCCAGUCCUGCACAUCCAUUGGCUGUGGCCACCACGUGGGGAGCUGGCGCGCAGAGCAGCAGCCGGAAGCCAGCCCUGCGCUGUGGCUGAGGUGUGGGGACCUAGGAAAGGGUGCACUACCUCAGCCUCACGCCACAGCCACAGCCAGGUAUUGGCCUGUUUGUGUCCUGCGGCCGCCAUUUUGGAUGUGUGGAUUCCAUUUAGCUUUUCCUGAUGCCACAGCCCCAAGCAACCCUAACUCUCUCACCCACAGCAGACUUCAGUUUCCAAGAUGAAGCCACCAAUACUACCAUGAUUUAAAAGAGACACAAGAUGCAUUAAAUGUAUGUUAAAAAUCACACAGAUACUCAUUUGCCUGUAUCUCCUAGUUUCUUCUGUUAAUGGGAAAAAUCUCUCUGGGACGGUGAUGUAAUCAGCCACUAUUCUCAAUUUUAACACUAUGUUUUGUACCUGUGAGAUUAUGGGUGGGCGCUUUUUUGUGGGUGUUUUUGUAUUGGGUUUUUUGUUGUUUUUUUCUGAUAAAAAGAGGGUGUCUUAGUUACUUCUCUCAUUGCUGAAACAAUACUAACACCCAAAGUUAAGGGAGGAAAGGUUUAUUUAGCUCACAGUUUGUAGAGGUUUUGGUCCAUGGCUGGCUCAAGGCAGAGUGGCACAUGGCAGAGGGGAUUCGCAGAGGAAUCCCAUUGCACCCAG
RNAcentral lists this long non-coding RNA (899 nucleotides) under Fukomys damarensis (Damara mole-rat). Its description in RNAcentral is "lncRNA (ENSFDAG00000025499.1)". Lineage: Eukaryota; Metazoa; Chordata; Mammalia; Rodentia; Bathyergidae. The record is from RNAcentral.